GUUUACAAAGACUCACAAACACAAAUAUGAGACAUGGGUGGAUAAGAAAUCAAAACAUGUUGAGAAUGCUAUAGAACAGGCUACGCAAAAAGUGUCUGAAGAAGGAAGUAAUGCACCAAAUGAGAUGGAUGUGUGGUGUGAAAUAGCCAGA
Non-coding RNA from Arachis ipaensis, 151 nucleotides. The record is from RefSeq and is a predicted model, not a curated record. Lineage: Eukaryota; Viridiplantae; Streptophyta; Magnoliopsida; Fabales; Fabaceae.